AUGUGGGCACUCUAAGGAGACUGCCGGUGACAAACCGGAGGAAGUGGGAUGACGUCAAGUCAUCAUGGCCCUUACGGCCUGGGCUACACACGUGCUACAAUGGUCGGUACAAAGGGUUGCCAAGCCGCGAGGUGGAGCUAAUCCCAUAAAACCGAUCGUAGUCCGGAUCGCAGUCUGCAACUCGACUGCGUGAAGUCGGAAUCGCUAGUAAUCGUGAAUCAGAAUGUCACGGUGAAUACGUUCCCGGGCCUU
RNAcentral lists this ribosomal RNA (252 nucleotides) under uncultured Pseudomonas sp. RNAcentral's name for it is "partial 16S ribosomal RNA". It matches the Rfam family "Bacterial small subunit ribosomal RNA", at positions 1129 to 1382 of the family's 1533-position model. Lineage: Bacteria; Pseudomonadati; Pseudomonadota; Gammaproteobacteria; Pseudomonadales; Pseudomonadaceae. The record is from RNAcentral.